RNAcentral lists this unclassified non-coding RNA (317 nucleotides) under Hevea brasiliensis (rubber tree). The record is from RNAcentral. Lineage: Eukaryota; Viridiplantae; Streptophyta; Magnoliopsida; Malpighiales; Euphorbiaceae.
GCUUCAUCCUGUAACAAGUUUCUGCAUCCAAAAAGAAGAGGCCCAUAAAAUCAUUUCCAGAUUAACUGUGUGUAAGCAAAUAUUAGUCUUUUAUUUCUUCUUCAAGUAUGAUAUAUUGAAGUAUUAACCAAAGAAAUGUAUGAGAGCAUAUUACAUAUACAAGAAACCCCCAGGGUUUUGAUUAAUCAACGCUUUGGAUCUUACUAUUUAAUAAAAAAAGGACUUCAGGUUUUGUGUUUUGUUAAUAGCAUAAUGCCUUAAUCACUGAGGUAAAAUAAUAUCCGACUUUUUAUAAAAUUUCAGUCAAUAACUAUUAA